Molecule: ribosomal RNA, 479 nt
Filed under: uncultured bacterium
Lineage: Bacteria
Description: SSU rRNA
Rfam family: Bacterial small subunit ribosomal RNA
Source: RNAcentral
AGGAUGAACGCUGGCGGCGUGCUUAACACAUGCAAGUCGAACGGUGAAAGAGAGCUUGCUCUCUGGAUCAGUGGCGAACGGGUGAGUAACACGUGAGUAACCUGCCCUUGACUCUGGGAUAAGCGUUGGAAACGACGUCUAAUACCGGAUACGACCUCCGAAGGCAUCUUCUGGAGGUGGAAAGAAUUUCGGUCAAGGAUGGACUCGCGGCCUAUCAGCUAGUUGGUGAGGUAAUGGCCCACCAAGGCUACGAUCGGUAGCUGGUCUGAGAGGAUGACCAGCAUCACUGGGACUGAGACACGGCCCAGACUCCUACGGGAGGCAGCAGUGGGGAAUAUUGGACAAUGGGCGCAAGCCUGAUCCAGCCAUGCCGCGUGGAUGAUGAAGGCCUUAGGGUUGUAAAGUCCUUUUAACGGGGAAGAUAAUGACGGUACCCGUAGAAUAAGCCCCGGCUAACUUCGUGCCAGCAGCCGCGGUAA